Musca domestica (house fly) is the source of this 362-nucleotide long non-coding RNA. RefSeq lists it as uncharacterized. The record is from RefSeq and is a predicted model, not a curated record. Lineage: Eukaryota; Metazoa; Arthropoda; Insecta; Diptera; Muscidae. The transcript is spliced from 3 exons.
AUUUGAAGCAGCGACAUCUCGAUUCUGUACAAAGAAGUCAUUUCACAGUUAGUAGACCGUGUGUCAAUGUCAAAACGAUAGUGCCAAUACUAAUUAGAAAUAAUUUAUUCUGUUUGGACAAAAGGUAUAUUUUUUGUUUUAAAUGCGGAUAUCAAUUCUAAUACAAAAAUAGGUCGCAAUUAUGGCCCGAUCUUCAGGAAAUUUAGAAUGGAGGUGCGGCUAGGGCCAGAAUAGAAGCCUAUUGGAGAUUUUUUUGGAGAUGAUUGCAUAAUAUUUAGGUUGAAAUUGACCAAUACCUUUUCCUGAUUUUGCAGUUGCUCUACAGGUCGCAAUUAUAGACCAAUCGAAGCGGAAGUUAGUUU